UACGAAGGGUGCAAGCGUUAGUCGGAAUUACUGGGCGUAAAGCGCACGUAGGCGGCGCAGCAAGUCAGGGGUGAAAUCCCGGGGCUCAACCCCGGAACUGCCCUUGAAACUGCAGUGCUAGAAUCUUGGAGAGGUCAGUGGAAUUCCGAGUGUAGAGGUGAAAUUCGUAGAUAUUCGGAAGAACACCAGUGGCGAAGGCGACUGACUGGACAAGUAUUGACGCUGAGGUGCGAAAGCGUGGGGAGCAAACAGG
RNAcentral lists this ribosomal RNA (253 nucleotides) under uncultured bacterium. RNAcentral describes it as "partial 16S ribosomal RNA". It matches the Rfam family "Bacterial small subunit ribosomal RNA", at positions 524 to 776 of the family's 1533-position model. The record is from RNAcentral.